UACGAGGGGUGCAAGCGUUGCUCGGAAUUAUUGGGCGUAAAGGGUAGGUAGGUGGUCUCAUUUGUCCGGGGUGAAAGCCUUGGGCUUAACUCAAGAAGUGCCCCGGAAACGGUGAGACUGGAGUCCUGGAGAGGGUCGUGGAAUUCCCGGUGUAGCGGUGAAAUGCGUAGAGAUCGGGAGGAACACCAGUGGCGAAGGCGGCAUCCUGGUCUGCGACUGACGCUGAGGCGCGAAAGCUAGGGGAGCGAACGGG
RNAcentral lists this ribosomal RNA (253 nucleotides) under uncultured bacterium. RNAcentral's name for it is "partial 16S ribosomal RNA". It matches the Rfam family "Bacterial small subunit ribosomal RNA", at positions 524 to 776 of the family's 1533-position model. The record is from RNAcentral.